GGAAACUGGGAAACUUGAGUGCAGAAGAGGAGAGUGGAAUUCCACGUGUAGCGGUGAAAUGCGUAGAGAUGUGGAGGAACACCAGUGGCGAAGGCGACUCUCUGGUCUGUAACUGACGCUGAGGAGCGAAAGCGUGGGGAGCGAACAGGAUUAGAUACCCUGGUAGUCCACGCCGUAAACGAUGAGUGCUAAGUGUUAGGGGGUUUCCGCCCCUUAGUGCUGCAGCUAACGCAUUAAGCACUCCGCCUGGGGAGUACGGUCGCAAGACUGAAACUCAAAGGAAUUGACGGGGGCCCGCACAAGCGGUGGAGCAUGUGGUUUAAUUCGAAGCAACGCGAAGAACCUUACCAGGUCUUGACAUCCUCUGACAACCCUAGAGAUAGGGCUUUCCCUUCGGGGACCGAGCAA
This 408-nucleotide ribosomal RNA is filed under the name Bacillus pumilus. RNAcentral's name for it is "bacterial SSU rRNA". It matches the Rfam family "Bacterial small subunit ribosomal RNA", at positions 628 to 1034 of the family's 1533-position model. The record is from RNAcentral. Lineage: Bacteria; Bacillati; Bacillota; Bacilli; Caryophanales; Bacillaceae.